UAAAUUGAGAGUUUGAUCCUGGCUCAGGAUGAACGCUGGCGGCGUGCCUAAUACAUGCAAGUCGAACGGACUGUGGUGAUUAUGAUUGAAGAGCUUGCUCGGAGAGAUUAAUCACAAUGCAGUCAGUGGCGAACGGGUGAGUAACACGUGGGAAACCUACCUCUUAGCAGGGGAUAACAUUUGGAAACAGAUGCUAAUACCGUAUAACAAUUAGAACCGCAUGGUUCAAGUUUAAAAGAUGGUUCUGCUAUCACUAAGAGAUGGUCCCGCGGCGUAUUAGCUAGAUGGUGAGGUAAUGGCUCACCAUGGCAAUGAUACGUAGCCGAGUUGAGAGACUGGAUCGGCCACAUUGGACUGAGACACGGCCCAAACUCCUACGGAGGCAGCAGUAGGGAAUCUUCCACAAUGGACGAAAGUCUGAUGGAGCAACGCCGCGUGUGUGAUGAAGGCUUUCGGGUCGUAAAACACUGUUAUAAGAGAAGAACGUCAGUGAGAGUAACUGUUCAUUGAGUGACGGUAUCUUAUCAGAAAGGGACGGCUAAAUACGUGCCAGCAGCCGCGGUAAUACGUAUGUCCCAAGCGUUAUCCGGAUUUAUUGGGCGUAAAGCGAGCGCAGGCGGUUAUUUAAGUCUGAUGUGAAAGCCUACGGCUCAACCGUAGAAUUGCAUCGGAAACUGGAUAACUUGAGUGCAGUAGAGGAGAGUGGAACUCCAUGUGUAGCGGUGAAAUGCGUAGAUAUAUGGAAGAACACCAGUGGCGAAGGCGGCUCUCUGGACUGUAACUGACGCUGAGGCUCGAAAGUGUGGGUAGCAAACGGGAUUAGAUACCCCGGUCACACGUAAACGAUGAAUGCUAGUUGUUUAGAGGGGUUUCCGCCCUUAGUGACGUAGCUAACGCAUUAAAGCAUUCCGCCUGGGGAGUACGACCGCAAGGUUGAAAACUCAAAGGAAUUGAACGGGCCCGCACAAGCGGUGGAGCAUGUGGUUUAAUUCGAAGCAACGCGAAGAACCUUACCAGGUCUUGACAUCCCUUGACACUCCUAGAGAUAGGACGUUCCCUUCGGGGACAAGGUGACAGGUGGUGCAUGGUUGUCGUCAGCUCGUGUCGUGAGAUGUUGGGUUAAGUCCCGCAACGAGCGCAACCCUUAUUACUAGUUGCCAGCAUUAAGUUGGGCACUCUAGUGAGACUGCCGGUGACAAACCGGAGGAAGGUGGGGAUGACGUCAAAUCAUCAUGCCCCUUAUGACCUGGGCUACACACGUGCUACAAUGGAUGGUACAACGAGUCGCAAAGUCGCGAGGCUAAGCUAAUCUCUUAAAGCCAUUCUCAGUUCGGAUUGUAGUCUGCAACUCGACUACAUGAAGUCGGAAUCGCUAGUAAUCGCGGAUCAGCACGCCGCGGUGAAUACGUUCCCGGGCCUUGUACACACCGCCCGUCACACCAUGAGAGUUUGUAACACCCAAAGUCGGUGGGGUAACCUUCGGGAGCCAGCCGCCUAAGGUGGGAUAGAUGAUUAGGGUGAAGUCGUAACAAGGUAGCCGUAGGAGAACCUGCGGCUGGAUCACCUCCUUUCUAAGGA
Molecule: ribosomal RNA, 1578 nt
Filed under: Periweissella cryptocerci
Lineage: Bacteria; Bacillati; Bacillota; Bacilli; Lactobacillales; Lactobacillaceae
Description: bacterial SSU rRNA
Rfam family: Bacterial small subunit ribosomal RNA
Source: RNAcentral